AACGAACGCUGGCGGCAUGCCUAACACAUGCAAGUCGAACGAGAUCUUCGGGUCUAGUGGCGCACGGGUGCGUAACGCGUGGGAAUCUGCCCUUUGGUUCGGAAUAACAGUUGGAAACGACUGCUAAUACCGGAUGAUGACGAAAGUCCAAAGAUUUAUCGCCAGAGGAUGAGCCCGCGUAGGAUUAGCUAGUUGGUGUGGUAAAGGCGCACCAAGGCGACGAUCCUUAGCUGGUCUGAGAGGAUGAUCAGCCACACUGGGACUGAGACACGGCCCAGACCCCUACGGGAGGCAGCAGUGGGGAAUAUUGGACAAUGGGCGAAAGCCUGAUCCAGCAAUGCCGCGUGAGUGAUGAAGGCCUUAGGGUUGUAAAGCUCUUUUACCCGGGAUGAUAAUGACAGUACCGGGAGAAUAGGCUCCGGCUAACUCCGUGCCAGCCGCCGCGGUAA
Molecule: ribosomal RNA, 449 nt
Filed under: uncultured bacterium
Lineage: Bacteria
Description: partial 16S ribosomal RNA
Rfam family: Bacterial small subunit ribosomal RNA
Source: RNAcentral